Molecule: transfer RNA, 66 nt
Filed under: Ictidomys tridecemlineatus (thirteen-lined ground squirrel)
Lineage: Eukaryota; Metazoa; Chordata; Mammalia; Rodentia; Sciuridae
Description: Spermophilus tridecemlineatus (thirteen-lined ground squirrel) tRNA
Rfam family: tRNA
About the family: Transfer RNA (tRNA) molecules are approximately 80 nucleotides in length. Their secondary structure includes four short double-helical elements and three loops (D, anti-codon, and T loops).
Source: Rfam by way of RNAcentral
GGUAUAGCUCAGUUGGUAGAGUGCUUGCCUCACAUGCAUUAGGACCUGGGUUCAAUCCCCAGCACC